Herpailurus yagouaroundi (jaguarundi) is the source of this 1252-nucleotide long non-coding RNA. RefSeq lists it as uncharacterized. The transcript is spliced from 2 exons. The record is from RefSeq and is a predicted model, not a curated record. NCBI's taxonomy places the organism in Eukaryota, Metazoa, Chordata, Mammalia, Carnivora, Felidae.
AUUUGUUUACUAUCCAGUCUAGCUGAUCCAGUACACUGCGGAAAGUACCCAUAUGAUCGAGGACUUCUUCUGUUAUAGAAUUCAGGAUCUAUAUCAUAAAAGUGCAAGAGGAAAGAAGCCAUUGAUGACAACAUGAAUGGAAUCUUGCAGCACAGUGGUUCGAAACCUUUCUAGUAAAUCUCUUUUAGAACCCAAACCAAAAAGCACAAUGUUGAACCCCAGGCUGUUAGGAAAGAUAGCAUUCAUGAAAUUAAAGUUCAGUACCUCUUACUUAAUUUUUUAGAAUUAACUAGUUUAAGUUUAUAAAAAAUACAGAAAGAACUAGGAUGACUAAAGAACUACAUUGAUUCUCAACUUAUACAAGGUAAAAGCGCAAUUUUAUUAUUAUCUGUACACCAAACUUACAGGUCCAGCAUCAGUAACUUUCUCUCCAGCUCUUAUUAUCUUUCAGGUGAUGGAUGGCUGGAGGCAAGGGAGAACAACAGGAGGCACAAGGCACUAAACAGUUGUACAGGCUGAAGCUGAGUUUUAAUAGAUUAAAUAGGAAAAGUAAGCAGAGGCCAAAUCACAAAGGUCUUGUUAAGUCAACUAAGACAUUAGAUUUUAUUUAAAGGACAAUGACCAUUUAACAGUAACUAGUCAGGUGUUAACUGAAAGGUUUUAAGUAGGAAAGUAGCAUGAUAUUUUCACCCUGGCUGAAUAGGGCGAAUGCACAGAAGAAGGGGAAAACUGCCAAAGAUGAUGAGCUUGAAUUAGGUGUUAUGGAGAAAAAUAGAAGUUAUCAAGAGCUUUACAUGUCAAAUCAAUAGGAUUUGGAGAGUGAUUAGAUGUAGAAGGUGAGAGAAAGGGAAUAUUUCAAAAUAACUUGGUUUUUUUUGGCCUAGGCAACUAUGUGGAUGAAGUGACUUUCACUGUGCCAGGCUGCAGGGGCAGGUGGCAAUGAGGGGUUUAAGAGGAGUUAAAUUUUAUAUAUAUUGAAUUAUUUACAGGACAUCAACAUGGAAACCCUCCAAUAUACACUGAUGUACCUGUAUAUGCUGCUGAGGAGUGAGAUCUGGGCUGGCCUGGAGAAAUCAUGGGAGUUAUUCACAUGCAAAAAGCAACCAAAGCCCAGAGAGUGAAUGAGAAGAAUUAGAACACCAAGCACCUAGGGGUCAAGCUAAAACUCAACUCCAUGAUUGUUUAUAGAAGUCUAUCAGAAACAGUAUUUAUGUGAUGCUCUGUAGCAAUGCAGGGGAGCCUAGAAGAAAAG